GGCUGGUUGGAAGGUAGUGAGUGAUCUCACUUGAUGGUUCACAGUCAGUGACAGAUUGAACUACUUGUUCUACUCCCCUCCCCCCUUCUCUCUACUGCACUUGACUAGUCUUUU
Molecule: unclassified non-coding RNA, 114 nt
Organism: Otolemur garnettii (small-eared galago)
Lineage: Eukaryota; Metazoa; Chordata; Mammalia; Primates; Galagidae
Rfam family: Y RNA
About the family: Y RNAs are components of the Ro ribonucleoprotein particle (Ro RNP), in association with Ro60 and La proteins. The Y RNAs and Ro60 and La proteins are well conserved, but the function of the Ro RNP is not known.
Source: Ensembl